AUUGAACGCUGGCGGCAUGCCUUACACAUGCAAGUCGAACGGUAACGGGCCUUCGGGUGCCGACGAGUGGCGAACGGGUGAGUAAUACAUCGGAACGUGCCCGAUCGUGGGGGAUAACGAGGCGAAAGCUUUGCUAAUACCGCAUACGAUCUACGGAUGAAAGCAGGGGACCGCAAGGCCUUGCGCGGACGGAGCGGCCGAUGGCAGAUUAGGUAGUUGGUGGGAUAAAAGAUUACCAAGCCGACGAUCUGUAGCUGGUCCGAGAGGAUGAUCAGCCACACUGGGACUGAGACACGGCCCAGACUCCUACGGGAGGCAGCAGUGGGGAAUUUUGGACAAUGGGCGCAAGCCUGAUCCAGCCAUGCCGCGUGCAGGAUGAAGGCCUUCGGGUUGUAAACUGCUUUUGUACGGAACGAAAAGCCUUCUUUUAAUACAGGAGGGUCAUGACGGUACCGUAAGAAUAAGCACCGGCUAACUACGUG
RNAcentral lists this ribosomal RNA (482 nucleotides) under uncultured bacterium. Its description in RNAcentral is "partial 16S ribosomal RNA". It matches the Rfam family "Bacterial small subunit ribosomal RNA", at positions 30 to 507 of the family's 1533-position model. The record is from RNAcentral.